UCGUGUCGAUGUAGCUCUUACCUCACAUGU
This 30-nucleotide non-coding RNA is filed under the name Rattus norvegicus (Norway rat). Lineage: Eukaryota; Metazoa; Chordata; Mammalia; Rodentia; Muridae. The record is from RNAcentral.